GGGCCCAGGAAGGGCAGAAGUCCCUGGCUAAGCUCCUCUCUGGAAAGAACAGAAGAGUGACCAGUUCCUCUGUCAGUUUGGUCUCAAUGGCAGAGGCCGGUUCCUUUAAGCUGCAGUCCGUAAAGGGUCUUGGAACGACUGGGGGCCAGGAUUCUCUGAGGGCGGGAAUCCGGGCGGCCGUCAGCUCUCGGUGGUGAUCGAGGCCACGCUCCGCCUGUCUCUGGGCGUGCAUACCUCGGUUUCCCCGUUUGUGACGUGGGAAGGCAAUUAGUCUGGACAUUGUUGUGGGAGGACUUGCGGAGACUGGGCGCAGGGCGUGGGGGUCAGUGAGGGCGCGGUGGGUCAGCCCCAGCCCGGCUGGCAGUCGCGGGGCUGGGAAGGUAGGGAACCCUCCGCUCUCACCCCACUUCCUGUUUGGUCGGUGUGUUCUGUGACCAUAGAUGGUCAAGUCUGGGGCCGCGCGGAAGCCUCCGCCCUGUGGUUUUGGAGCCCUUCCUCCCGGCGCGCAGGGUGUGGUCCCCGAGAAUAAGAUGAGCAGAAUUAAAGCAGAUCCUGCACCCACUCUGCUGAAAUCCGGCUUCUGAGGCAGCCUCGCCCAGGGCUGGGUGGGCUCAGGCGGCUGCUACUCGGUUCAGGGGAGGUUACGCACGGUGGCUGCCGCGCGCAGGGGAGGCUUCGCUUCCGUACUCCUUGGGCCGGGAGAUCCGAUCUUUGUUCCCUCAAGACUCACACUCUCCAACCGGUCAUUAUCCUCCCACAAAGAUUUAUUUCUAGAAAAAAUUGGCAAGUGCCACAGUUCCCGCCCCUUCAGCUGAACGACUGUGACAGCUCCGUGUUUCAAGUUGAAUGCAGGCGUUAUGUGCCAGAGUCAAUCAUUCAACAAAUAAAGUUCUUAAAAUAACAGCUACCAUUUACUGCACGCUGACUACUUGCCAGGCCCAUGCUGAGUUCUUCAAGCGUAUUUUCAUUUACUCCUAAUAGCAACUCUCGGUGAGACAGAAGGAACAUAGACCAUACACGCAUUCUAGAGGAAGAGGAGAGAGAAGAGGAAGCAGGAAGGAGAAUGAAGAAAGUUUCCUCAUCAGCACAACUAGGGAUCCAGCAGUGGACAAGUCAGACCCUGUUACUGCUCUCAUGGAGCUUACAGUCUAUUUUGGAAAUGAUAUUUCCAUUUGGAGUGGUCAUCAGAAGAUACGCUGCCUUCUGUCUUCCAGCUUUUUCCUCCUCGCUGAUCUUGCCCCUUGUCCAGUACCCAGUGCUUCAUCCAUGUCUCUCUUGCAGAUAACUAUGGCCGUGUGCCUGAGAUCUGGCCAAUGGAAUCGUGGACAGUUCUCCAUGCUCUUUCUCCUUCUGUGGCAACUCUGAAUGUCGUGUGUUCAAGAUGAAGACAGAAGAUAGAAUGACCUUGGGUCUCUGAAUCAUUGCUUGGAGAAGAGCAAUUUACUGAUCAGUGGUGUGAAAAUAAGUAAUUCAAAAUCUAAGCUAUUGGGCCAGGUGCAGUGGCUCACGCCUGUAACCCCAGCACUUUGGGAAACCAAGGCAGGUGGAUCAUUUGAGGUCAGGAGUUCGAGACCAGCCUGGCCAACAGGGUGAAACCCCGUCGCUACUAAAAAUACAAAAAAUUAGCCGGGCAUGGUGGCAUACGCCUGUGGCCCCAGCUACUUGGGAGGCUAGGGCACGAGAAACACUUAAGCCCAGGAGGCGGAAGUUGCAGUGAGCCAAGACUGCACCACUGCAUGCUAGCCUGGGCAAGAGAGCAAGACUCUGCCUCAAAAAAAAAAAAAAAAAGAAAAAAAUCUAAGCUGUUGGAACAUUAAAUUAUUUUGAGCUUUAAAGAAAUGUGUUUAUGAGACUUGAGUCAUGUGACAGGCAGCUGUAACCUAGGAAACUGUAAACAUUUUUUCUCUGAUUAUAGAUUAGCCUCCUUCCUUAUCUACAUAAUUUUGUAAAAUGUUGUAAAUGACUAAAGGGUACUUCCCUUUAGUCCCACUUCACUGCUGAUCUUCAUUGCAGAUUAACUUCCUUCCUACCUCUCUCACACAAAGCCUUCAUGACUGUUACAUUAUAUACUCUUUUAAAUUAGAAAAUAAAUGAAACCAAGCCACAAGGAAAAGAAAACAAAUUAACUAAUUGAAUUGUUUUAAUUCAUAAACCAGCUUUGUAUAAGAAAUAAUCCUGUUAAAUUUCUUUGUUUUCUUCCUUUAUAAACAAGACCUUAACUUUUGACAUCAGAGCACGGACCCCAUUUCACUGACCCCAUUUUCACGGAAUAAACGCCUUAAAAAAAUUUUUUUAAUAGAAACAGAGUCUCACUUUGAUGCCCAGUCUAGUCUUGAACUCCUGGCUUUAAGCAAUUCUCCUUCUUGGUCUGCCAAAGUGCUGGAAUUACUGGUGUGAGCCACUGUGCCCAGC
RNAcentral lists this long non-coding RNA (2412 nucleotides) under Homo sapiens (human). RNAcentral describes it as "non-protein coding lnc-PPT1-4:3". Lineage: Eukaryota; Metazoa; Chordata; Mammalia; Primates; Hominidae. The record is from RNAcentral.